CUCGUAGUUGAACCUUGGGUCUGGCUGGCCGGUCCGCCUCACCGCGAGUACUGGUCCGGCUGGACCUUUCCUUCUGGGGAAUCUCAUGGCCUUCACUGGCUGUGGGGGGAACCAGGACUUUUACUGUGAAAAAAUUAGAGUGUUCAAAGCAGGCCUUUGCUCGAAUACAUUAGCAUGGAAUAAUAGAAUAGGACGUGCGGUUCUAUUUUGUUGGUUUCUAGGACCGCCGUAAUGAUUAAUAGGGAUAGUCGGGGGCGUCAGUAUUCAGCUGUCAGAGGUGAAAUUCUUGGAUUUGCUGAAGACUAACUACUGCGAAAGCAUUCGCCAAGGAUGUUUUCAUUAAUCAGGGAACGAAAGUUAGGGGAUCGAAGACGAUCAGAUACCGUCGUAGUCUUAACCAUAAACUAUGCCGACUAGGGAUCGGACGGUGUUUCUAUUAUGACCCGUUCGGCACCUUACGAGAAAUCAAAGUUUUUGGGUUCUGGGGGGAGUAUGGUCGCAAGGCUGAAACUUAAAGAAAUCGACGGAAGGGCACCACCAGGCGUGGAGCCUGCGGCUUAAUUUGACUCAACACGGGGAAACUCACCAGGUCCAGACAAAAUAAGGAUUGACAGAUUGAGAG
Molecule: ribosomal RNA, 622 nt
Filed under: uncultured fungus
Lineage: Eukaryota; Fungi
Description: SSU rRNA
Rfam family: Eukaryotic small subunit ribosomal RNA
Source: RNAcentral